AGGAUGAACGCUGGCGGCGUGCUUAAGACAUGCAAGUCGAACGCAGAGUGAUCGUAAGGUUGCUCUGAGUGGCGAAUGGGUGCGUAACACGUAGGUGAUCUGCCCAGAAGUGUGGAAUAACAGUCCGAAAGGACUGCUAAUACCGCAUGUGGCGCGCGGGGUUAGAGGCCCGCACGCGAAAGGCGAGCAAUCGUCGCUUCUGGAGGAGCCUGCGGCCCAUCAGGUAGUUGGUAGGGUAAUGGCCUACCAAGCCUACGGACGGGUAGGGGACCUCAGAGGGUCGGCCCCCCACACUGGCACUGACACACGGGCCAGACUCCUACGGGAGCAGCAGUCGGGAAUAUUGCCCAAUGGUCGCAAGCUGAGGCAGCAACGCCGCGUGCGCGAUGGAAGGCCUUACGGGUCGUAAAGCGUCUUUUUCGAAGUGGGAUGAAGGAAGGACAGUACCACGUAGGAAAUAAGGUACCGACUAACGUACGUCGACCAGCCGAACGGCCCGCGGUAAAUCCGUA
This 512-nucleotide ribosomal RNA is filed under the name uncultured soil bacterium. RNAcentral's name for it is "bacterial SSU rRNA". It matches the Rfam family "Bacterial small subunit ribosomal RNA", at positions 26 to 529 of the family's 1533-position model. The record is from RNAcentral.